RNAcentral lists this ribosomal RNA (543 nucleotides) under Triticum aestivum (bread wheat). RNAcentral describes it as "partial small subunit ribosomal RNA". The record is from RNAcentral. Lineage: Eukaryota; Viridiplantae; Streptophyta; Magnoliopsida; Poales; Poaceae.
AUGAUCAGGAGGGUUCCUACAAAGGAUGCAUGCAUCGCCUCGAAGAUGUGCCUCAGCCGACGGACAGGGAGGCGUACUGCUGGGCAAAAAGAGACCACUGGUCAUGGAGUAGCAUCCCUUCUACACUCCCUUUCAACGUGUACCAUAUGUUGUCGAUCGCAAUGCAUCCAGAGGGAGGAGGGCGCACACUGUUUGUAUCCGUGGAGGGGGGUGGAGCCUCAGACCCCUGGAGCAAGGGCAAAGGCGAUGGUUACUUGGACGUCUUCGGUGAGGACAACCCCUCCCGCACCUACUCCUACGACAUCGAGAGCGGCAAGUGGACGGGGCAUUGCGAGUGGAGUCUACCCUUUUUCGGCCAAGUCCACUACGACAAGGAGCUCGACGCAUGGUUGGGCUCCACAAGGCGCAUGGAGACCCAGAUGGCUACAUCUCCUCCUGCGACGUCAUUUGUCCCAACGAGAGCCCCGCGCAGCCUGCCUGGAAGUUAUGAGCGGAGAGGUUGUUCGAUCCUCAUGCGGAGGCCAUGAGGCUAUACAGGGAUAG